CCCGGCUGCCCUGGCCUCCUCUCGGGCUCCCUGCAGCUGCCGGCCCAGGGUUGCCCUGAAGACACGGGGGUGAGGCUCAGCAGGCCCACGAUCAGGGGUUCUCUCUGCUCCAGGAUGGGGCCCCAGCUCCAGCUCCAGUACCCGGCUCUCCAGCCGAAGGAUCUGUGGGACAACUGGCAUGAGCAGGUGCACCUGCCCGCGGGCCACCUGGGGUAGGUGAACAUUCACCCGGCGCACGCUCAGGGGCGCGCAGCACUUAGAGGCAGGCCAAGACCCACAGAUGCCACGUGCGUGUGCAUGCCCAUGCAGGGCACGUGUCCUGGGCCUGCACCCCCCGUCCCCCGUGCACUGAGGCUGGUUCUCACUGCUGCUCACCUCACUCUUCAGCUGGAAGAUUUCAGCCUCGUGCUGCUCAUGUAGGUGGUGGGUUGUGAUCUGAAUGUCGACCAGCUCCUUGGAGAUCUGUGGGUGGCCAGGUGAGAAGUGGCGUCUGUGGGCCCUGCUGGCACCCUCCCUCCUCACGAGCACCCUGGGGCCCCACACCCACCUGCAGCUGCUGCUCCUUAUUGAGCGCUAGAUCUGGUGGGACCUCUGCUUCCAAGCUGGUGGCCCACACUGCGGUGCCCCCAGGAGCUCCUGGCAGCCAGUCCUUGGCUCGUAGCACAACCUGGGGAGGUACCG
This 681-nucleotide long non-coding RNA is filed under the name Pan troglodytes (chimpanzee). Its description in RNAcentral is "long non-coding RNA NONPTRT005877". The record is from RNAcentral. Lineage: Eukaryota; Metazoa; Chordata; Mammalia; Primates; Hominidae.